This 715-nucleotide ribosomal RNA is filed under the name uncultured Clavaria. RNAcentral describes it as "eukaryotic LSU rRNA". The stretch from base 282 to 435 matches the Rfam family "5.8S ribosomal RNA". The record is from RNAcentral. Lineage: Eukaryota; Fungi; Basidiomycota; Agaricomycetes; Agaricales; Clavariaceae.
CUUGGUCAUUUAGAGGAAGUAAAAGUCGUAACAAGGUUUCCGUAGGUGAACCUGCGGAAGGAUCAUUAUCGAUUUUUAAAGAUGUGCUGGCACUCCUUCACCGGUUUGCAUGUGCACUCUGCAAAAUCUCCUUCUCUUACCCCACUGUGCACACCCAAGUAGACAAACAGAGUUACAGAGCAAUCUGUGUAAUUCCUGAUUUGCCUAUGUUUUUAUCAAACACCAAUAACAAUCUCAGAAUGAUCUAUAUAGUAAGCUUUUAACAAGCUGAAAUUUAAUACAACUUUCAACAAUGGAUCUCUUGGUUCUCGCAUCGAUGAAGAACGCAGCGAAUUGCGAUAUGUAAUGUGAAUUGCAGAAUUCAGUGAAUCAUCGAAUCUUUGAACGCACCUUGCACCCUCUGGCAUUCCGGAGGGUAUGCCUGUUUGAGUGUCAUUACUCUCUCAACACAAGAAACUUUGUCUCCUUGUGCUUGGAUAUUGAAGGUUUUGCUGGCGCAAACAACUGUCAGCUCCUUUUAAAUGUAUUAGCAGAGCAGUAUAGGACUGGCCUCGGUUUGAUAAGAAACUUUAUCUAUGCUGUCGCUGGGUUUUCCUCUUUGUGCUCAGCUUCAAAUUGUCUUCGGACUGUCUCUUGAGGCAACAAAAUCUCUAUUGAUCGACCUCAAAUCAGGUAGGACUACCCGCUGAACUUAAGCAUAUCAAUAAGCGGAGGA